AAAUAAGAAGCUUAAAGCAUUUAAUUUCGACUUAAAAAUUGAGUAUAAAACUACUCCUUAUUUU
RNAcentral lists this transfer RNA (64 nucleotides) under Eubasilissa regina. Its description in RNAcentral is "tRNA-Arg". The record is from RNAcentral. Lineage: Eukaryota; Metazoa; Arthropoda; Insecta; Trichoptera; Phryganeidae.